GCUUUACUGUAGCUUGAAAUUGAGUUUGGGUUUAUUUUGCGCAGCAUAGGUGGGAGGCUGUGAUAAUAGAUUUGAGGAUCUAUUUGAGCCAAUAGUGAGAUACCACUCUAAAUAAACUAGAACUCUAACUUUGAUAGUCGUUAACCGGCCAAAGAACAGUUUCAGGUGGGCAGUUUGACUGGGGCGGUCGCCUCCUAAAAGGUAACGGAGGCGUGCAAAGGUUUCCUCAGACUGGUCGGAAAUCAGUCUUAGAGUAUAAAGGCAUAAGGAAGCUUGACUGCAAGACCUACAAGUCGAGCAGAGACGAAAGUCGGCCUUAGUGAUCCGACAGUGCUGAGUGGAAAGGCUGUCGCUCAACGGAUAAAAGUUAC
Molecule: ribosomal RNA, 371 nt
Filed under: Kallymeniopsis oblongifructa
Lineage: Eukaryota; Rhodophyta; Florideophyceae; Gigartinales; Kallymeniaceae
Description: bacterial LSU rRNA
Rfam family: Bacterial large subunit ribosomal RNA
Source: RNAcentral